Molecule: ribosomal RNA, 394 nt
Filed under: uncultured bacterium
Lineage: Bacteria
Description: partial 16S ribosomal RNA
Rfam family: Bacterial small subunit ribosomal RNA
Source: RNAcentral
CCUACGGGUGGCAGCAGUGAGGAAUAUUGGUCAAUGGACGCAAGUCUGAACCAGCCAUGCCGCGUGCAGGAAGACGGCCCUAUGAGUUGUAAACUGCUUUUGUACGAGGGUAAACGCAGAUACGCGUACCUGUCUGUAUGUACCGUACGAAUAAGGAUCGGCUAACUCCGUGCCAGCAGCCGCGGUAAUACGGAGGAUUCAAGCGUUAUCCGGAUUUAUUGGGUUUAAAGGGUGCGUAGGCGGUCGGAUAAGUUAGUGGUGAAAGCCCGAGGCUCAACUGCGGAAUUGCAUCUGAUACGGGUCGGCUAGAGAGUAGUAGAGGUAGGCGGAAUGUGUGGUGUAGCGGUGAAAUGCUUAGAGAUCAUGCAGAACACCGAUUGCGAAGGCAGCUUAC